This 423-nucleotide ribosomal RNA is filed under the name Phyllodesmium parangatum. Its description in RNAcentral is "partial 16S ribosomal RNA". It matches the Rfam family "Bacterial large subunit ribosomal RNA", at positions 1832 to 2597 of the family's 2925-position model. The record is from RNAcentral. Lineage: Eukaryota; Metazoa; Mollusca; Gastropoda; Nudibranchia; Glaucidae.
AGCCAUUGGUUGAUAUCUUUGGUUUAACCUGCCCGGUGUUAAUUUAACGGCCGCAGUACUUUGACUGUGCUAAGGUAGCAUAAUCAAUUGACUUUUAAAUGGAGUCGGGAAUGAAUGGUGGAACUGGGUUUAGCUGUCUUAAAAAUAGUUACUUGAAUUUGCUUUUUAAGUGAAAAAGCUUAAGUUAGAUAAAAAGACGAGAAGACCCUUAGAAUUUUUACGAAUUAGACUUUAGUUUUUAUUGGGGCGAUAGAGAAACAUGUUUAAACUUUCUUGAUAUACUAGCCGAUAAUUUUAAGUGCGGAUAAAUUACCUGAGGGAUAACAGCAUAAUUUUAAAGUUAAGUUUGUGACCUCGAUGUUGGACUAGGAAACUGGCAGGCUAGCCGUUUGCUUUGUUGGUUCUGUUCGAACUUAUAUUCCU